Molecule: ribosomal RNA, 498 nt
Filed under: uncultured bacterium
Lineage: Bacteria
Description: partial 16S ribosomal RNA
Rfam family: Bacterial small subunit ribosomal RNA
Source: RNAcentral
GACGAACGCUGGCGGCGUGCCUAAUACAUGCAAGUCGAGCGGACGAAUCGAAAGCUUGCUUUUGAUUCGUUAGCGGCGGACGGGUGAGUAACACGUGGGCAACCUGCCCUGUAGACGGGGAUAACACCGAGAAAUCGGUGCUAAUACCGGAUAACACGAAAUGUCGCAUGACGUUUCGUUGAAAGACGGCGCAAGCUGUCGCUACAGGAUGGGCCCGCGGCACAUUAGCUAGUUGGUGAGGUAACGGCUCACCAAGGCGACGAUGCGUAGCCGACCUGAGAGGGUGAUCGGCCACACUGGGACUGAGACACGGCCCAGACUCCUACGGGAGGCAGCAGUAGGGAAUCUUCCGCAAUGGACGAAAGUCUGACGGAGCAACGCCGCGUGAGCGAAGAAGGCCUUCGGGUCGUAAAGCUCUGUUGUUAGGGAAGAACAAGUAACGCAGUAACUGGCGUUACCGUGACGGUACCUAACGAGAAAGCCACGGCUAACUACGUG